Molecule: long non-coding RNA, 541 nt
Filed under: Homo sapiens (human)
Lineage: Eukaryota; Metazoa; Chordata; Mammalia; Primates; Hominidae
Description: non-protein coding MINCR:16
Source: RNAcentral
AUCUGGAAAAGAGAACCCUGAGGCAGGAACAAGUCGUUAAUUGCAUGUGCGUUUGUCCACAGCUCACCAUGAGUCAGGCCCUGUGCUAGGUGCUGGGAUGAAGCAGUGACUGACACAGGCCUGGACCUGUCCUUGGGAAGAGUGCGUCUGUGACACAGAUACUGUGCCAUGUGGCAAAUUCAAGGCCCGCAUAGGAACCACCUCCUGCCUGACUGAACCGGGACCUACGUCUUUUCUUGCCUUCAGACUUGAAUGGAGACAUCAGCUCUUUGUGGGUCUCAAGUCUACUGGCUUUCAAUCAGCUCUUCUGCUUGACAGCUGCAGGUCUUGGGACUGCCCAGCCCCCAUAACCCUGUGAGUGCAUUCCUGAUAAUAACCCUCUUUCUCUUGUCCUCCCCCACCCCACAUCAUUGGUUCUGUUUCUCUGGAGAACCAUAAUACAUCAUUUACUAAUCAGGAAAUAGAUUCAGAGACAUUAAUAACUCAUCCAACCUCACAGUUAACUGUAGAGUUGGGCUUGAAAUUCCAAGGUCGAUUUUCU